AGAAAAAUAAGUUAAUUAAACUAUUUGGUUCAUGCCCAAAAAAUAUAGUAUUCUAUUUUUUCUG
RNAcentral lists this transfer RNA (64 nucleotides) under Thaparocleidus varicus. RNAcentral describes it as "tRNA-Met". Lineage: Eukaryota; Metazoa; Platyhelminthes; Monogenea; Dactylogyridea; Ancylodiscoididae. The record is from RNAcentral.